RNAcentral lists this ribosomal RNA (258 nucleotides) under Streptococcus agalactiae CCUG 44104. RNAcentral's name for it is "partial 16S ribosomal RNA". It matches the Rfam family "Bacterial small subunit ribosomal RNA", at positions 1 to 250 of the family's 1533-position model. Lineage: Bacteria; Bacillati; Bacillota; Bacilli; Lactobacillales; Streptococcaceae. The record is from RNAcentral.
UUUAAUGAGAGUUUGAUCCUGGCUCAGGACGAACGCUGGCGGCGUGCCUAAUACAUGCAAGUAGAACGCUGAGGUUUGGUGUUUACACUAGACUGAUGAGUUGCGAACGGGUGAGUAACGCGUAGGUAACCUGCCUCAUAGCGGGGGAUAACUAUUGGAAACGAUAGCUAAUACCGCAUAAGAGUAAUUAACACAUGUUGUUAUUUAAAAGGAGCAAUUGCUUCACUGUGAGAUGGACCUGCGUUGUAUUAGCUAGUU